AAUCAACGCUGGCGGCGUGCCUCAGACAUGCAAGUCGAACGAUUAAAGCUCUCUUCGGAGAGUGUAUAGAGUGGCGCACGGGUGAGUAACACGUAAGUAAUCUACCCUCGAGUGGGGAAUAACAACCGGAAACGGUUGCUAAUACCGCAUAAUGCAGCGGGCACCGCAAGGUGACAGUUGUUAAAGAUUUAUCGCUUGAGGAGGAGCUUGCGGCAGGAUUAGCUAGUUGGUAGGGUAACGGCUUACCAAGGCUACGAUCUGUAACCGGUCUAAGAGGACGGUCGGUCACACUGACACUGGAUAACGGGUCAGACUCCUACGGGAGGCAGCAGUCGGGAAUUUUGGGCAAUGGGCGAAAGCCUGACCCAGCAACGCCGCGUGAAGGAUGAAGUAUUUCGGUAUGUAAACUUUGAAAGAAUAGGAAGAAUUAAUGACGGUACUAUUUAUAAGGUCCGGCUAACUACGUG
Molecule: ribosomal RNA, 467 nt
Filed under: uncultured bacterium
Lineage: Bacteria
Description: bacterial SSU rRNA
Rfam family: Bacterial small subunit ribosomal RNA
Source: RNAcentral